CUUCUCAAGCGUUUCCAGAAUGAUAUUGGGGAGCUGGGAGCCGAGGAGAGCAAGAACUUCAAUGACCGAAAUGUAUAUAUCAUUUUGAUGCCGAAUAAAGCCGUUAUUCAGAAAUCUCAGGAACGAACGAAGAAAAAGGCAGCACCAGGAGUAGAAAUUUCUAUAUAAACUGAGUUAUAUAGUUCUGGCGGCAGGGUGAACUCGAUACAUGAGGAG
Molecule: unclassified non-coding RNA, 216 nt
Filed under: Hevea brasiliensis (rubber tree)
Lineage: Eukaryota; Viridiplantae; Streptophyta; Magnoliopsida; Malpighiales; Euphorbiaceae
Source: RNAcentral